This 3162-nucleotide long non-coding RNA is filed under the name Equus caballus (horse). RNAcentral's name for it is "lncRNA (ENSECAG00000051626.1)". Lineage: Eukaryota; Metazoa; Chordata; Mammalia; Perissodactyla; Equidae. The record is from RNAcentral.
GCGCGUUCGCCGGUCGCUCUUUACACCGGACACCAGUUCUCCCGGGAAAGGAGCGGCAGGUAAGCCCGACUCCGGACAGGCGUUGGGCUGGACAGCAACCUCAGAAGGAAGAGGGAAAGUACCUGAUAGCUUCGUAGGUGCGCAAUAAAUAUCUGAUGACCGGCCGAAUAAAUGUGACCUUUGGACAGGUCGCUCGACAGUGUGUAUGCCCCAUCACAGGCCUCCAGACCUCCCAGCCACACAUUCCCUAAGCGCAAGCGACUGCAUAGCCCUACGUGUAUAUUUCUCCCCAAACGGGCGCCCUACUUUGGGCGAUUAUGUGACAUGUGUCACCCAGGACUCUAAUCCCCGCGGCCCCUAAAACUGCAGGCCAAGAGGGGCCAUUUCAGGCUUCCUCCCUUUUUUUGUUUUCGAAGAGAAAGAGGGAUGAGGUGGACAGGAGGUGUGGGGUGAGAGAGGCGUGAAGCGUCAAUGCGCUCCCGGGUGACCCGGCCGGCCAGCCGGCCGGGUCGUGGGGCAGCGGGCGGCUGUCACCCAGCGGGGCGCCCGGGGGUGCGGCCCUCGGCCAAAGCGAGAGACUGGACGCGCUGGCUUGUCCUGGACUGGCUGGCUGGCUGAUGCAAAAAGAAGAGGUGAGAGUGGGAAGUCCCAGCCCAAGGGGACUGUGUUUCCAAAGGGAGUGUGCUUUUUUUUUUUUUUAAUCCUUCUUUUUUCGAAAAUACCUGUCUUUAGUCAAGAUACAAGGGAGCCACGCGUCAUUCGGAUUCCCUCACUUCAUCCCUCGAACGGCCUGCGGGAAAUUUCCUAGGUCGUUUUCUUUUUUGUUUUUCCCUCCCCGAUUUUCCUCAACUAAAAAUCUUUCAGGCAUUUUCGCUGAAGGUGCUUUUGCCUUGCUGAUUUAAAAAUACAAACAAAAUCAGCGCUCCACGCAGCGGCGCCUCGCUGGCAGCUGACUCCGCAGGGCCUGGGGGCUCGCACCAGCGGGCAGAGCUUCCUCCGCAGAUCGCGGAUUCGCACCUGCGCUUCCUCCCCGCAUCCCAGCACCUUUCGGUUUCGGGGUGUUCAGUCCCAGGGAGGGCACCGACGAGAAAGAGCUGAGGUUCCCAGGGCGGCUUUGUAGGAUUCCCCGAGGGGAGGGUGGGCACUAUAGCGAUGACUUCAUCUCAGCCUGAAGGGACUCCAGCAGCUACUGCCUCUAAGAUGUUCUAUGGGGUGGGUGAUUAUUUCAGAUCUGUAUUAAUCGGGGGAAAUGUCUCCAUCAAACUGUGGAAAAGGAGAAAUGUUAUUAACAUACAAUCCCGAAGGUAACUGUUUGAAUUAAAGACGGAUUCUCUUGUGUCUUUCUCGCACUCCUUUUCUAUCUCAGCGGGACCCGGGAGGCUCCGGGGCAGAGAGCAUCUCCUGAUUCCUAGAACCUGUAGAUUCUUGGGGCCACAUCGGGCGUCCUUUCUGCUGCGGGUUGGGCUCCGCUGUGGAGCGGCGUGAGCGAGGCGCGAGGGCAGACGCGCGCAGCCUGGUCGCCUGCCCUCUGGUCGCUGCUCCCGAGGCAGCACCUUCUGCCCGGAGGGCCCCAGGAGGACCAAGCUCCUGGGGUCAGCCUCCAACUUGUGAGUGUCCGCGAGACUGACGUCUUAAGGCUGGGGGCUUUGGCUAUAGAGGGUUCUCGGAGAUGUGACGUCACAAAGACUGCAGCGGGUAGACGGACACGGAGCCUUGACAGCCCCGGGGUUUCGAGAAGUGAGGGGUCACAAGGAACCCGGGGAUCGCUGGGCUUCCGGCUUUGUCAUUGUUUAUUUCGAAUUAAUUUCGUGUUGUGCGUCUCUGUUUGCAAGCCCGCAGGAGAGACGCAGCGAAUACCCGAUUGAUUCCAUCCCCGGUUUGUUUGAAGGGAGGAGCAAGGGGCGCCUCUGGUGCUCUCACAGCCUUCAAUAGCUCCAAUAGACAGAUCACGGAUUUUGAGAACGCAGUUUUUUCCUUUUCUUUCCUUUUUUUUUUUUACUUUCUCUCUUUGACGUUUUUCUUCCAAGGCCCUUUCACUGAUGUAAAAGGACUAAGUGGACUCUUACGUCUCUUUUUUACCUGUCCCCAACUCCUGUUUUCUUUUUUUUUCUUGAUGAGUGUGAAAUUUGGCCUGGCAUAGGUGAAAGGGACCCUUUUUUUGGUCCCUCUCUUAAAUCAUUAAGACCCAGAAAAUUUCACAGUAUCUCUAUCACUAUCUUUAGGACAAAAUGUGUUUACAUCCAGUGGAAAAGGCGCAUUGUUUUCUUUCACGCUGAGCCCUAGGACUGGAACCUGCUUCUCCACCAGUUUCCAGGUUGGCUGAAAGAAAGGGUGUUGGAGACAUGCCUUUGGAGAAUAUUUGGAGUGAUGGAUAGAAAGCUUUCAGAUCGCAAUCUUUAUGCUUUUCUGGCCUGGAUUUACAAGUUUUGAGAAAACAAUCAAACCACAACCUGAAAUCAUUAUUAACAUAUCAGAGCCUCUGAACCCCCCCCCAGACCUUGCUACCCAAAUAUACAGUGAUCAUAAACAUUUUUUUCUUCCUGGUUUUCUUGCUUGCUUUUCUAAGCGCCCGGCACAGUCCUUUCACGGGUGAGCCUCUGUGUGGCUGACUGCUGAAUGCAUGGGGGGCGGGGAGGGCUGUGGGCAGGCGGCUCGGGGUGCAGAGGAGACAAUGGUGACCGGCUUUCCUCGGCAGCUCCUCUGAGGAGGCAUUUUGUCUUCUCUGCAAACGGUGCUGCUGUUUGUUUGGAGGAAGAGAGCCGUGGGUAUGGAAUUAGGGGGUGUCAUGUGGGCCGCACGUGUGGCUGGAGCUACCUGAAGUCUGCAGCCUAAUCACUCCCAGAUGGCCCCAGGGACCAUGGUCCCGGGAGCCCCAGAAGCCCAGAUCCGCCCCCCAGCGCCUCCUGGAGGGGGAAUUUAAAGGGAAAGAGAAAAUGGAAGUGUGUGUAUGGGGAUGUGUGGUGUCGAAGAACUUUUGGGACUUGCCAUAUGGUUUGGACCUUACAUGCUGCAUCUUCCCCAAACAGAGGCAUUCCAAACACGAAUGACCCGUCUCCACCUCUGCCCCUAGUUCCAAACCUGCUUUAUUUGGAAGGAGAGGUAGAAGAAAAUGAAAAACAUGAGGAGGAGAGAAGCCUCGCUCCAGGAACUAUUGCAUUGGCC